RNAcentral lists this transfer RNA (81 nucleotides) under Ipomoea nil (Japanese morning glory). It matches the Rfam family "tRNA". From Rfam's summary of the family: Transfer RNA (tRNA) molecules are approximately 80 nucleotides in length. Their secondary structure includes four short double-helical elements and three loops (D, anti-codon, and T loops). Further hydrogen bonds mediate the characteristic L-shaped molecular structure. tRNAs have two regions of fundamental functional importance: the anti-codon, which is responsible for specific mRNA codon recognition, and the 3' end, to which the tRNAs corresponding amino acid is attached (by aminoacyl-tRNA synthetases). tRNAs cope with the degeneracy of the genetic code in two manners: having more than one tRNA (with a specific anti-codon) for a particular amino acid; and 'wobble' base-pairing, i.e. permitting non-standard base-pairing at the 3rd anti-codon position. The record is from Rfam by way of RNAcentral. Lineage: Eukaryota; Viridiplantae; Streptophyta; Magnoliopsida; Solanales; Convolvulaceae.
GUGGAGAUGGUUGAGUUGGCCUAAGGUGCUAGAUUUAGGUUCUAGUUUGAAAGGGCGUGGGUUCAAAUACCACUUUCCACA